GUAAGUUGAGUAGCAAUACUUGACCUAGAGUGUCGCACGGGUGCGUAACACGUAUGCAACCUACCCAUAACAGGAGGAUAGCUCCCCGAAAGGGGAAUUAACCCUCCAUAGUAAUAUUGAAUGGCAUCAUUUGAUAUUUAAAACUGAGGUGGUUAUGGAUGGGCAUGCGUCUGAUUAGUUAGUUGGCGGUGUAACGGACCACCAAGACGAUGAUCAGUAGGGGAACUGAGAGGUUGAUCCCCCACACUGGCACUGAGAUACGGGCCAGACUCCUACGGGAGGCAGCAGUAGGGAAUAUUGGUCAAUGGAUGGAAGUCUGAACCAGCCAUGCCGCGUGCAGGAAGAAGGCCUUAUGGGUUGUAAACUGCUUUUGCCAGGGGAUAAAAUAGCUGUGCGCAGCGAAUUGCAGGUACCUGGUGAAUAAGCCACGGCUAACUACGUGCCAGCAGCCGCGGUAAUACGUAGGUGGCAAGCGUUGUCCGGAUUUAUUGGGUUUAAAGGGUGCGUAGGCGGCCCUGUAAGUCAGUGGUGAAAUACUCCAGCUUAACUGGAGGGGUGCCAUUGAUACUGCAGGGCCUGAGUGGAGUAGAAGUAGGCGGAAUUGACGGUG
RNAcentral lists this ribosomal RNA (610 nucleotides) under uncultured bacterium. Its description in RNAcentral is "bacterial SSU rRNA". It matches the Rfam family "Bacterial small subunit ribosomal RNA", at positions 68 to 675 of the family's 1533-position model. The record is from RNAcentral.